CACAUUACAGACACAUUACAGAGAUACAGACACAUUACAGAGAUACAGACACAUUAUAUAGAUACAGACACAUUACAGACACAUUAUAUAGAUACAGACACAUUACAGACACAUUACAGAGACAGACACAUUACAGAGAUACAGACACAUUACAGAGACAUUACAGAGAUACAGACACAUUACAGAGAUACAGACACAUUAUAUAGAUACAGAGACAUUACAGAGACACAUUACAGAGAUACAGACACAUUACAGAGAUACAGACACAUUACAGAGAUACAGACACAUUACAGACACAUUACAGAGAUACAGACACAUUACAGAGAUACAGACACAUUACAGAGAUACAGACACAUUACAGAGAUACAGACACAUUAUAUAGAUACAGACACAUUACAGAGACAUUAUAUAGAUACAGACACAUUACAGAGACAGACACAUUACAGAGAUACAGACACAUUACAGAGAUACAGACACAUUACAGAGAUACAGACACAUUACAGAGAUACAGACACAUUACAGAGAUACAGACACAUUAUAUAGAUACAGACACAUUACAGAGACACAUUACAGAGAUACAGACACAUUACAGAGACACAUUACAGAGAUACAGACACAUUACAGAGACACAUUACAGAGAUACAGAUACAUUACAGAGAUACAGACACAUUACAGAGAUACAUUACAGAGAUACAGACACAUUACAGAGACACAGACACAUUACAGAGACACAGACACAUUACAGAGACACAUUACAGAGAUACAGACACAUUACAGAGACACAUUACAGAGAUACAGACACAUUACAGAGACACAUUACAGAGAUACAGACACAUUACAGAGAUACAGACACAUUACAGAGACACAGACACAUUACAGAGAUACAGACACAUUACAGAGACACAUUACAGAGAUACAGACACAUUACAGAGACACAGACACAUUACAGACACAUUACAGAGACACAUUACAGAGACAGAGACAUUACAGAGACAGACACAUUACAGAGACACAGACACAUUACAGAGAUACAGACACAUUACAGAGACACAUUACAGAGACACAUUACAGAGAUACAGACAUAUUACAGAGACACAUUACAGAGAUACAGACACAUUCCAGAGACACAGACACAUUACAGAGAUACAUUACAGAGAUACAUUACAGAGACACAUUACAGAUACAUUACAGAGCUGGAUAAAAUCAAGUUCUACUGUUCACACAGUCGUCAGCUUGUUACAUUCUUUUUAAAGUGGUUAUGGUUGGUAUGGCUUGGAGUUUCUGUGGUGUUCUACUCAACAGCGCUGGUAUACAGUAUAUACACAUCUGUUCUUUCCAGAUAGACUCAUAUUUAAAAAACUGUGAAUAUUAGAGUCUCUGGCUCUGGUAAGAAAUAUAAAAAAAGUUGGAUAGAUAUCUGGGGGCUGAGUCCAUGCUAAUUCUGUGGACCAGACCAAGAUUA
RNAcentral lists this long non-coding RNA (1462 nucleotides) under Salmo salar (Atlantic salmon). RNAcentral's name for it is "lncRNA (ENSSSAG00000118010.1)". Lineage: Eukaryota; Metazoa; Chordata; Actinopteri; Salmoniformes; Salmonidae. The record is from RNAcentral.